AAUUUUAAAUUAAUUUUAAAUUUUGAAUUAAAAUAUAGAUUUACUGUAGAUAUUCUGACAAAAAUGUGGAUAAGCAUAAUAUUUUUCUAUUUUAGAGAUAAAAAAUUAAAUAAUUUUUUAAUUAAAAUAUAGAUUCACAGUAGAUAUCUUUCUAUUGUCAAAAAUUUGGAUAAGUAUAUUUUUUUUCUAUUUUAGAGAUUAACAGAAAUGAAAGUUUGUUUCAUUACGUUAUUUAUUUUACGUACGGAAAGAGGAAUCAAUAUUUUUCCCGUUUAAAAAUGGGUCUGUCGACAGACCCAAAUUUGAAAUACGUGCUUUUAUAUAUAGUAUAGAUAUAGUAGAGUUACUAUACUAUCGGAAGUAUAGAGAAUCUGGUGCUUCCGAUUUUUUGGCCGUUAGAUCAGCCGUUUUAAUUAUUUUUAACCUUUGGAUUAAUCCUAUUACCCUGUGGGAACCACUCAACCCUAGGGGUACUACUCAACCCUGGGGGACCACAAUCAUCCCAACCGUAAUUUAGAUUUUUUGGCCGUUAGAUCAGCCAUUUUAAUAAUUUUUAACCUUUGGAUUAAUACUAUUAUCCUGUGGGGACCACUCAACCCUAGGGGUAUACUCAAUCCUGGGGGACCGCAAUCAUCCCAACCGUAUAAUUCUUAAUGUAAGGGUCAAAAUAUCGGAAGUAUCAAAUGCUUUAUGCUCCCGAUAGCAUAGUAGCUCUACAAUAUAUAUAUAUACAGAGAGAGAAAGAGAGAGAGAGAGUUGGACUGGGCUACUAUUAGUAGCAAAAUCCCAUUGUUACUACCAGUUUUUUAGCCUUUGGAUCAACUCUUUUCAUUAUUUCUAACCAUUGAAUUAAAUACUAUAACCCAGUAGGGACCACUCAACCCUAGGGGGACCACUCAACUCUAACCGACUAAUAUCAUCCUGACCCUACAAUUUUUCAUCCAAGAGUUAAAAAUUUGAUAGCAAAAAGUGCGUUUUACUAUUAAUAGUAUUCCAGCCUAAUUCUAUAUAUAUAUAUAGCUAGUCUCCUAUACUAUUUAUAGUAUCGGAGCUACGGUACUAUAGUCUCGUUUUCGAUCUUAGGGUGUUCAAAUCAACGAUCCACACCGUUAAAACUGAUCUAGGGUAUUUAAAUUUUUUAGAAAUAAAAUUUUAUAUUUUUUCGACAUAUUUUACUUUAUGAUCAAACCAUUUCAAAAUUGUCAAUUUUCAAUGGCUACUAUGGCGAGUUUGGAGUUUAACGUGUGGAAGAAUCUAAAUUUCUUCAAAUUUUCAUAGAAAAUACUUUAAACUAUUUAGAUUAAGGUUAACAUUCUUGAUCUUGAAUUUAAAAGUUCUAUACUCAAAUUUUAAAGAUUAUUCAAUUUUCACCGUCCAUUUUGACAUAAUUUAUUUACUAAGUAAACGAUAUCGAAUAAAACUAAAAUGUUAUUCCUAAGAACUUCAUAUACUCUAGAUCAUAUUUAACGGUGUGGAUCGUUAAUUUGAACACCCUAAGAUCAAAAACAAGAUUAUAGUACCGGAGCUUCGGUACUAUAGAUAGUAUAGUAGCCUAAUUUUAUAUAUAUAUAUAUA
This 1575-nucleotide long non-coding RNA is filed under the name Ananas comosus (pineapple). RNAcentral's name for it is "long non-coding RNA (ACOM_LNC008840)". The record is from RNAcentral. Lineage: Eukaryota; Viridiplantae; Streptophyta; Magnoliopsida; Poales; Bromeliaceae.